This 19-nucleotide unclassified non-coding RNA is filed under the name Mus musculus (house mouse). RNAcentral describes it as "oocyte_clustered_small_RNA4355". The record is from RNAcentral. Lineage: Eukaryota; Metazoa; Chordata; Mammalia; Rodentia; Muridae.
UUACCUUGAAGUCUAGAGG